RNAcentral lists this transfer RNA (94 nucleotides) under Trametes cinnabarina. RNAcentral's name for it is "Pycnoporus cinnabarinus tRNA". It matches the Rfam family "tRNA". From Rfam's summary of the family: Transfer RNA (tRNA) molecules are approximately 80 nucleotides in length. Their secondary structure includes four short double-helical elements and three loops (D, anti-codon, and T loops). The record is from Rfam by way of RNAcentral. Lineage: Eukaryota; Fungi; Basidiomycota; Agaricomycetes; Polyporales; Polyporaceae.
GGCGAUAUGGCCGAGCGGUCCAAGGCGCCAGAAUCAGGACGGUCCUCGUCUUAUCUGGUCCGAAAGGGCGUGGGUUCGAAUCCCACUGUCGUCA